Molecule: ribosomal RNA, 465 nt
Filed under: uncultured bacterium
Lineage: Bacteria
Description: bacterial SSU rRNA
Rfam family: Bacterial small subunit ribosomal RNA
Source: RNAcentral
ACUCCUACGGGAGGCAGCAGUGGGGAAUAUUGCACAAUGGGCGCAAGCCUGAUGCAGCCAUGCCGCGUGUGUGAAGAAGGCCUUCGGGUUGUAAAGCACUUUCAGUCGUGAGGAAGGUAGUGUAGUUAAUAGCUGCAUUAUUUGACGUUAGCGACAGAAGAAGCACCGGCUAACUCCGUGCCAGCAGCCGCGGUAAUACGGAGGGUGCGAGCGUUAAUCGGAAUUACUGGGCGUAAAGCGCAUGCAGGUGGUUUGUUAAGUCAGAUGUGAAAGCCCGGGGCUCAACCUCGGAAUUGCAUUUGAAACUGGCAGACUAGAGUACUGUAGAGGGGGGUAGAAUUUCAGGUGUAGCGGUGAAAUGCGUAGAGAUCUGAAGGAAUACCGGUGGCGAAGGCGGCCCCCUGGACAGAUACUGACACUCAGAUGCGAAAGCGUGGGGAGCAAACAGGAUUAGAUACCCUGGUA